RNAcentral lists this long non-coding RNA (1485 nucleotides) under Mytilus galloprovincialis (Mediterranean mussel). Lineage: Eukaryota; Metazoa; Mollusca; Bivalvia; Mytilida; Mytilidae. The record is from RNAcentral.
AUUCAUUCAUAACAAUUUACAAUUUUAAAUGUCAAAAUAUCAGUUUAGGUUUUCACAUGAUGAGUGAGUUGUUAUUUCUAUCAUUAUAUUCCAAAGGGUGGUAUUUGGUACAAAAGUAAAUUAUUAUAAUUACAAGUCCCCCUAGAUUUAAUAAUGACGGGAGAUUUGUGUACCCUUUUGCUGAAUGAAAUUUUGUUAAUGUCUUGUGAUAAUAGUUUUCUAGGUACAUUUAUCCUACCACCAGUCAAAACCACUAAUAGUAGCUUACAGUGAAUACAACUCUGUUCAGAAAAAUAUAAUUGUUAAGCCAAACAAAUGUCAGACAAAAAUGAGACUACUAUAACAUGUAGUAGUCGCAUAGGAAGGAAAUAAAGGAAUAAAAACGAACAAUACAGGAUAGAGAAAAACAAAUGAUAGAGCACUAACUAAAAUAAAAACUUGUGUGAACUGCUUAACUCUAGAAGGGUAAUCCUCAAUCCAGUGGCAAAUAUUUCAUGCAUGUUGAGGAAUAUUCAUGAAUACAAGGACAAUUACUAUCAAUAUAAAACUUUAUUUUACCUGUUUCUUAACUUUCACUAUUAGAAUCCAAAUUUCUCUGAUUAAGUUUCUUUCUAGUUGUCAGAUGGUUUUGUUGUGUUUUAUUGGGAGUUUUCAGGGGAUGGGGGGGGGAGAUUUUAACUGGUACAGAGCAUAGAUUCCUUUUCUAAAACAGUUGAUGGAACUGGGAGUAGAGACUCUUGAUAAACUGAUUGUAGAAUUUGUUUAUUUGUUUUAUGUAACUUGUAUUUUGUUUGUCACAAGCUGUAUUUAACUUUAUUUUAAUGUUGAUUGAAACUUAUUGCUGAAAAGUAAUAAAGUGAGAAGAAAAAAACAACUUUAUUGUAGUAGAGUACUUAUGUGAAGAAUUUUAUUUUUGAUUGACUUUAGGCUUCUAUUGUAGUAACGUCAUGUUUUGUUAUUUUUUAGGACCUAAAGACAGGGAUUCCAACAGAGUAACGUGAGGAGAAGAUUUAAUUAAGUAACGUACGUUACAUCUAAGUCGAAGAAAUAAUCGGACAGAGUCAUAACUUCAGGGAUACCUGCUGUAAUGGGACAAAGAACAAGACUUAAUCUAAACUAGGGAUCAGAUUAAUAGAUGUGGGUUAAGUAUGGUAGAAGUCUUGAGGCAUCGUAAAUAUUUGAUUGUAAUAUGUUUGUUGACAAUUUUUCUACGUAUUAUGAAAUCUUACUACAAUGAAACACGACAGAAAGAGUCAAGAUCUUUGUUUAAGAGGGGGAUUAAUGUUUUAAUCUCGCGUCUAUGUGUAUUCUAAUGUUAAGAAAUCAUGAGAUUAGAGACAGACUUAAAAGUUAAAUGACACUAUGGCCUUUGUUAUUAAUAAACGAAUAACCUUUCCAUCUAUUAUUUCUGUUUUGCCUUUAGCAUUAGUAUACUACUAUUAUUUUGUCUGACAGAUUUUUAGGUUAAUAGCGCAUAGUUUGUUU